Molecule: unclassified non-coding RNA, 391 nt
Filed under: soil metagenome
Description: partial contains 5.8S ribosomal RNA, internal transcribed spacer 2, and large subunit ribosomal RNA
Rfam family: 5.8S ribosomal RNA (bases 1-122)
Source: RNAcentral
GAUGAAGAACGUAGCGAAAUGCGAUACUUGGUGUGAAUUGCAGAAUCCCGUGAACCAUCGAGUCUUUGAACGCAAGUUGCGCCCGAAGCCACUAGCCCGAGGGCACGCCUGCCUGGGCGUCACACGCCGUUGCCCCCCCAUCUACUCCUUCGGGAUUGCGGUGGGGCGGAUGAUGGCCUCCUGUGCGCCUAGCCGCGCGGUUGGCAUAAAUACCAAGUCCUCGGCGACGCACGCCACGACAAUCGGUGGUUGCGAAACCUCGGUUGCCCGUCGUGUGCGUUCGUCGCGCAUCGAGGGCUCGAAAAAAUGCUCGGCUCCGGCUGGGCUUUCAACGCGACCCCAGGUCAGGCGGGGUUACCCGCUGAAUUUAAGCAUAUCAAUAAGCGGAGGA